GCAGCUGCAGGGCGGGAAGGGGCGGGGCCACCGGUCGGCCGUCCCUCCCUCCCGCCCGCCCCCAGCCCUUGCUGCGGAGAUGGGUCCGGGGGGCGAGCGGCCGGGCCCGGCCUGGCCUUGCUCUUCAGGGACGGGCGGGGCUGCGUGAGCGCAGCGGGUCUAGGCGCUGCGACCAGGGCGGGUUUGGCGACACGAGCAGCAAGGGACGGUAUUAUGGGGCGGGGGGGCAUCCUUUUUUGGCAACGGGCAACCAAUUAGCCUAAUUUGACCCUCCCCCUGUGCCGUCUCCUUCCCCUGCUCCUUGCCUCUUCCCUUCGCCACUUGUGGCCAGAGGCGGAUUAAGGUGGCCUGGGGCCCUGGGCAACCACAACAUUAGAGGCCCCCUCCGGCCAUGGGAGCUGGGGUGGGGGAGCCCCCUUCCCCUCCCCCUCCUGGUGCUGGCAGGGGAGGCUGGGUGGACUGUGCUGGGCUGGGGGUGACGGGGCACAUGCCCCACUCUUCUCCCUGCCCCCGCCCCCCAUGGCCAAACAUGCAGGCUGGCGCUCCACUCUCACUCACUCUGCCCAUGGACACAGACAAACGCACUCUUCCUGCCAUGGACGCAGGCACACACUCCAGUCGCUCUACACACACACACACACACACACACACACACACUCCCUGCAAUAAAUAAGAUACAUGCAUGCAUACACACAGAUGCACAGUUGUGCACAUACACAAACAUGCAUGCACACACAGACACACACCCAGCAACACAUUUCCCCCCACAGGAACUUCCCCACUCUCAAUCACUCUGAGGCAGCCCCCUCCACUCCCCUGACGUGAGCCACCCGUGCCCCAUUGCACUGAGAGGCAGGGAACUGGUGCUCGACUGUGGCCGUGCUGCCACGCAUAUAUGCACGGGGUCAGCUCAGCUCAGGCCGGGAGCGCUGCGCCUCUGCAGGCAGGUGGCAGUGCUGGGAGAGGUGGCUACAAGGAGCUAAGGUGAAUUUUGGGGGUCUAUAGCCCCCCCAAGGCCCUCCCAGCGCCGCCACCAGCCUGCAGAGGUGUGAUGCUGCAUGGCAAUCCCAGCCUCCUCCCUUCCCCCCCCCCCAACGUUCCCAGUUUAAAAGCCCACUUUCACUUCCCUGCUGAGGAUCCCAGGGCCUGAAGUUGGUAGGGGCCCCUGUGCUCAUGCCCAGCUGGCCCAUCCAUUAAUCUGCCUAUACUUGUGGCGUUCACGCUGCCAGGUGGCUGAUGGUAGGAAGAGUAUUUAACCAAAGUAAUAAUAGUAUAUAUAUAUGUAUAUUGGUUGCUCUGAACGUCUGUUGUUUAUUCCAUAUUUCUUCAGCUCUUUCAUUGUGGGGCAGUAAUGGAGGUGAGGCACACAAGAAGCUUUCCAGUGUGACCAGCUGCCUUGGCUGCACCGUAAAAUAUAAAAUGAAUACUGUAAAAUCCUACAACCAUAGAAACACGAGUAUAAGACAAAAUAUUUGAAUGAGUAUCGCAUUUACUGGUCAGACUUGGCCACUUAAAUGAGAAGCAGUCCCUUUUACCUUAUUGGCAAAGCUCCCCUUCUGUUCUCUGCAGCCCUUGUUAUGGUCACGUACAUAUUCUGUGCUGUUGUGCUGUCAGGAGGGGUGCCUGGGAUGUAUCUUCCACCUAGACAGCUCGCUUCUAUAAGUCCAGAAAAAUAACUUCUUCCGUAGUUAGGUUUAUGAUUUGUACCUCAUUGUAUUGGAUAUGUGGUAUGGGCUUCAUAUCCAGGUACCACUCAAGUACUGAUCCAAAUAAUUUUGAUUACAUUAAAUAAAAUACUAAGACUAAGGGAUUGGCAGUCGAGUUUUUAAAAAAUGCAGCUGAUGACAGUGGACUGUUUUAGGUUGCUAAACUUGAGCAUCCUGAAACUGAUUGGAAACUGUCACUCCUAGUGAAGGCAGAGUUGUUGGUGUUCAGUCUUUGAACCAGAUAAAAAGUGUUUUAGGAUAAGGCCAAAAAGUAAGCAACUUCCUAAAAUUCUGGUCUAAAGUGAUUUCCAGAGGCCUGGCAGAAAGCCUAUGGAAGAGGUAGGAACCAAAUCUGCAUCUAAUGAGUUCAAGGUCAGUGCUGUACCCAAAAACUGAAGUGCCUGGGAAGACAAAGGGCAUGAGAAUAAGAGAAAAAGAGACUUGCUUGGUUAAGGAUAAGACAGUACAAAUCUAGGCUGGAGGAAGUCUGCAGGACUACUGAUGAUAUUUCAAAUAGUUCGGUUUAGUUGUGAAAGCAGAUGUCUUACACCAGGGCUGUCCAAUUGGUGGCCUGUGGGCCACAUAGAGCCUGCAAGGGGUUACAUUGUGGGCCUGGCCUCCUGCAGUUCUUCCCAUGGCUCCAGCUGCAACAGCAGCCAGUCUUCAGGCUUCUCCUACUUCCUCUGGCUUUUGCUGCCUGCCCCUGCCCCCGGGUGAGGCAGCGCAGUACGGCAUGGCCUGGGGAGCUGAGCGUGAGCCUAGUGCAGUGCACAUUAUGUGGAGGGGGUGUGCAUGGUGCAGUGAGGAGGGAAGUGCAGUGCAGUGCAGUGCAGUGAGUAGGGGAGGGCCUGCUUGCACAGUCCAGCAGUGGGGGGAAGCAUUUGCAUACGCAUGCACUACAACAGCAGCAGGAGGGUGCAGGUGCAGCAAGCAGGGGAGCUCCUGCAUGGAGCAGUAAGGGGGUCUGGCUCUCUCCGGUGUGGCCCACAUUUAUGUGGCCCCUGCUGGUCUGGCCUGCAAAGUAUGUGUCCCCUGGCCCCUCACAACUUGGACAGCACUGUCUUAUACAUCUCAGUGGCCUAUGUGAAAUGAAUCCAUUAGCGGCCUCAAUCUAAUUCCGGAUAGGUGUGCCUACAACACAAAAAUAUCACCACCAAUGUUUAGCAUACUAGGAAGACGAGUGACUGGACCCACCAAGAAAACUUUCUCCAUUAGAACAAGGGUAAGACCCACUGGCAGAACACUGCGGUAAGACAUGGUGUGAUAUAAUGCACUGAGAACAGGACACUGGAUUUAUAUUCUGGGUUUUGUCAGACCAAAGGUAUGUAAUACUGAGCAUCUUUGGCUCAAUUUCUUCAUUUAAAUAGUGGGCUAAUAUUUGCAUGCUGCGCAGGGUCUGCAAGGAUUAGUUGAUAUUUGUCUGUUAAAUGUGAAUAGGUCAAAUCCAGAAGAGAUCCUGUGGUUCAGGCUGCCUGUGGUAUACCUGUUCUGUUCUUAGGUUUCAGUCUCCAGGCCCAUCCACAUUGCUAACUCAGAAUUCAGAUAGGCUGGAAACAUUGAAUUCAUCAAAAAUUUAGAGUUUUACAUUUUCUGCUUAGCUAUUGUAGUAGCCUUUAAAGAAAUCUUUGCUCUUCCCCAAGUUCCCUAAAUUGUGAUUUCCAACCUGUAGGAGGACUGCAUUAUAUUGGUCACCUCAGCAAACUGUUGUAUAACUAGAUGAAUGAAUGUGUGAAUUUGACAGAGCUACAGCCAUCUUAGAAAGCACAGCACACGUAAAGGGAUAUCUUUAAUGUUAACUAAUGUGUAUGUUGUUAAUGUAAGGUUUGUAUGAAACAGGCUCAUAAGGGACAGAUGUUCUAUGACAUUUUGCUUGGCACGUUUGAACAUCUUUUGAAGGAGUCAGAAAAAUGUGACGACUAGAGCUCAUUCUGUUUUAGCCAUUUUAUGCUUUCUUAGGACUGCAGGUUGAUAACACAGAAUACAGACAUUGCUAAUUGGCUAUUUGCCAAGCUGCAGUUAUAGCACUUCUGGGCUUCAAUCCAAUUUCAAACAAAAUACAUUUCACACUGAAAACAGGAAAGAGAAUUAGAAACACGCUGUAACUGAACCUAACAUUUUUUAAAGAUACAUGAGGAAGUGUGAGACAAGAAGGGGAGAAGAGGGAACACCAGAAUUAGAAUAGUGAAAAGGAUGGGAUUAGGCUUUCCUUUAAGUGUGCCAUCAGAAGCCUCAGCUAUAUAUAUGCCUUGACCCAACAAUGGUAUGUAGCUGGAGAUAUAAUUAAAAGGAAAAUUAAAAUAAGAUUAAGGAGCAGAAGGGCACCAAGAGAAAUAUUUAUUAACGUAACUUGUUAUCCAUUUAGCCAUUAAAAAAAAUCAGUAUUGCAAAAGGAUUAGUAUGUUAUUAGUUUAUCCAUUAUGGAGCUUGGCCCUAGAAACAUUAGCACUGAUCACAAUACUCACCCAAAACUGUAUUCUUAUAAACAGAAUAACAGUAAAAAUAUUUAUGUGUCACAUCAGUAGAAGUUUAUUAACUCAGUGGAGCUCACCAAUGAUGUGAAGCCACUGUAUAUACAGGAGUCAAAAUAUUUUGAACUGCGCUGAAGCAAUUUGGGAUUUUUAUGCUACCUCAUUAUAACCAAAAUGUAUCUAUAACUUAAAUGAGUACGAGUCAAUUUAACUAUAGAUGACCCAUAUCACUAUAAAAUGAUGGUAUCUGAAGCAUGUUAGCAUACAAUACUUGACUAUAAAAAGUUGGUCUGAUCCAGGAUAUGUACUAAGUGCUAGUGUUUCUUUCCUGUUUUUCAUCUGACAGAAGGUGUUUGGUAUCUGGAUAUAACCUAGUCAGUAAAUUAUCAUCAGAAUGGAUUGACGUGUGUGAUUAUGUUCAACACACACAGGUCUUGUCUUCAUUAGGAAUUAAAGGACCAAUAUGCAUGAACUCAAAAGCGUGUCCUAUCAAGUCUAUUCUUACUGAAGACUACUUGCUGAAAUGAACCAGGUAACACGUCACCCGGACAGGGGAGGAGAGGCUGAUAUCAUUUACUUGGAUUUCAAAAAAGCCUUUGACUUGGUCUCCCAAGAUGUCCUCAUGGUAAAAUUGGGGAGCUGCAGCCUCGACAACCUUACAGUCUGAUGGCUGGGAAACUGGCUCCGUGGUCAGACCCAGAGCGUGUUUGUCGAUGGAACCGAGUCAACAUGGCGCAUGGUGACCAGUGGUAUCCCCUAGGGUUCAGUUUUCAGACCAUUACUCAUUAAUAUAUUCAUAAGUUCAAGAAGUGUUUGGAUGAUUAUUUUGCUGGGGUCAUCUGACCUCAGUUGAUUUCCUGCCCUUUGGGCAGGGGGCUGGACCCAAUGAUCUUGCAAGGUCCCUUCCAGUCCUAAUGUCUAUGAAAUCUAUGAAGUCUUACUCUUGUAUAUUGUUGGGGGGUAUAGGUUUGCAGGGGGCUGUGGGUGUGUCUGGGAGUUGAUAGGUGUGGGCUGUGUGGGGUGAGGGAGCAAGGGGGUGUGGACAUGUGGGGUGUGCGAGAGGGUGUGGGGUUCUGCAGGUAUGGCAGUGCGAAGAGAGGUGUGGGGUGUGCAUGUGGGACUCACUCUAUGAAUACACAUGCACACUCCCAUACUGUGCAGCCCUGUGCUCCCCAGUCCAGCGAUGCAGCCAGGAGCCACAUGGUGCUGGAGCAGGGUGGGGGCAGGAAGCAAGGAAAUAGCUGGGGGUGGGGAGGGGCUGGGCUGCUGCAUCAUGCUGAUGGCUUCCUCUGGGUCUUACUGCCCCUGGCUACUGUCAUCUUUGACAGGCAGCCAGGGGCAGAUAAAUAUUAAUUUUCUAAAUUUUUUAGAGUCCCUGCGGGCUGGAUAGAAUGGCCUGGCAGGCCAAAUCCAGCCCACAGGACAUAUUUUGCCCACCCCUGUGUUACAUGCUUUACAAGAGACAAAAAAAGAGAAAUAUAACCUUAGAAAAAGCCAGCAUGGAAGUAAUCUAUUUUUUAUGUUAAUUUACUGUAACUAAAGCAGAUAUAAAAAUAAGUCAACAAAGAACAAACUUUUACUAGAACACAUCCUUUCUCCUAAUCAAUUUCGUACCUUUUACUUUAGGUCAACUUCCCAUUAAUAACUUCACUGAAAUAUUCAUUUCACUUCACUGAAGCACCCACUGUCAGUACUCUUUAAUGGCUAAAACUUGCUGAUAUACUGGGUGACUUCAUGCAAUAUGUGAGUAAAAGUCUCACUGAGGUCAAGUUAGUUGUUCCAAUAAGCAUGGUACUCAGUGUUGAAGUAUGAUAUUGUGAAGCUGUUAGCACCCACAGUUCCUACCAAAAUCUUCCACCUGAGUAAUUUAAAGCAAUAGUUUUCAAAAUAUGUUCGGUGGAACCCUGGGGUUCCAUGAUAGGUCAUCAGCAGGGAUCCUGGUUUUCUCUGUUUAAAAAUCCCAAAUUCCCUGAUUAAAAAAACCCAAUUCUGUAUUUUUCUGUGAUUAAAAUGAAAUUCCGCUAUAUAUAUAGAUAUCAUUUGAACACAACGUUCUAUUGAUAUAUUUACAAUUUUAAAGCAUUUUGAAACCCUACCAAGUGCCUCAAUCAUUAUAAUAAAAUAAAUUUUAAAUACCUAAUCAUUUUUUAGUUUGAUUUGUUUUAUCAUGGAAUAUCAGAGCUCCCCCUGCUUCCUUUGCUCACCAGGACCGGGUCCAGCUGCAGCUGUCCCCACUCGCUGCUUUGUAGCACUGAGCAGCCCUGAUACACCAGUGUCCUGCCCCUGCCUUUGCCCCUCACUCCUGACCCAUAGGCCCCUGGCCCUGCUGGUGCCCCUCACUCCCGACCGGCUGCCCUCUGCCCCCCUGUAUGUGAGGAAGGAAGUGGGUGUGUGGGGAAGGGGGGGUGCAAGUAUAGGUGACACAUGGGAGGGAAGGCACAGGUGAUACGGAAGGGCAACACAUACCCCUCCAGAUUUGUGCGCCCCCAGCCGGGCAUGGGGCUACAGC
This is a long non-coding RNA of Alligator mississippiensis (American alligator), 6683 nucleotides long. RefSeq lists it as uncharacterized. NCBI's taxonomy places the organism in Eukaryota, Metazoa, Chordata, Crocodylia, Alligatoridae. The record is from RefSeq and is a predicted model, not a curated record. The transcript is spliced from 3 exons.